Fundulus heteroclitus (mummichog) is the source of this 3920-nucleotide RNA transcript. It is a transcript of the gene named activating transcription factor 7b, with no coding region annotated. The transcript has 13 exons. Lineage: Eukaryota; Metazoa; Chordata; Actinopteri; Cyprinodontiformes; Fundulidae. The record is from RefSeq and is a predicted model, not a curated record.
GUCAACAACGGACGGGCAGCAGCAGCAGCAGCAGGCAGCGCUGUCCGGGAGCAGGGAGGGGGAGUGAAGAGGCACUUUAAACGUCCGAACGUCGUCUGAGAUGGGGGAUGAUCGGCCCUUUGUCUGCACAGCCCCUGGAUGUGGGCAGAGAUUCACGAAUGAAGAUCACCUCUCGGUCCACAAACACAAGCAUGAAAUGACUUUAAAAUUUGGUCCUGCCAGGACAGACUCUGUUAUUAUCGCAGACCAGACCCCAACCCCCACGCGUUUCCUGAAGAACUGUGAAGAGGUCGGUCUGUUCAAUGAGCUGGCCGGUUCCUUUGAUCAGGAGUUUGGUAAAACACAGGAAGACGAGCACAGAACAAAGCACCCCGCUGCACCUUUACAAACACCCGCUGAAGUAAAAGAUGAGGACGACUCGUCCUUACAGGUUGAUUCGUCUCCCCCCGACAGUCCGGACUCCUCGUCCACCAUGUCUGAGAACAGCAGAGACUCUAGGGAGUUUCUCACUAAGCACGUGGCGAGCUCCACUCCUACUCCAACGAUUGUUCGCCCGGGCUCGCUCCCCCUUCACCUGACCAGUGACCCGCUACACCCGACUCUGCCUUCUCCAACGUCUGUGAUCACACAGGCCCCGCCCUCCAACAGACAGCUUGGAUCUCCCACAAGUGCGUAUCCACUGAUGAGGCACCUCCCUAACGGGCAGACUAUCCCGCUUCUGCCCAGCCCUGUGCAGAUGACUUCAGUUAUAUCUCUUGCGAGGACAGUGAACACCGUGCCUAACAUCCCUGGGAUCCCAGGACCUCCUCUAGGAGGAGCCAGCAGUGGUUCCUCCUCCCCUUCGGGAUAUAGUCUUCACUCUGAGACCAAAAUGAGGCUGAAGGCAGCUCUGUCUCAGCAAGGCCCGGCAGCACAAGAUGGAGCAGGGGGUGGGUCAGGAUCCAUCCCUGCUAUCCCUCAGCGACAAGAACAGAGCCAGCAGCCCACUCAGAACUCUGACACACCGUCGCCUGCUCAACCUCAGGUCUCCCCUGCUCAGCCCACAGGGGGGCGGCGGCGGCGCGCAUCGGAGAUGGACCCCGACGAGAGGAGGCAGCGUUUCCUGGAGAGAAACCGCGCGGCCGCGUCUCGCUGCAGGCAAAAACGAAAGCUGUGGGUCAACUCCUUGGAGAAGAAGGCAGAGGAUCUUGCCAACAUGAACGUCUCCUUAACAAAUGAAGUGACUCUGCUGAGGAACGAGGUGGCACAGCUGAAACAGCUCCUCCUCGCUCACAAAGACUGCCCUGUGACCGUCAUGCAGAAGAAGGCCGCUUUCCUAGCUGCAGGAGGAGAGGAAGUCUCCAGGGAGGCUCCCAGCGAACACAUCGGCUCCCCGGCAGCGGUCAUCCAGCACGUGCCGUCACCUGCUGCAGUGUCGUCGAGCCCAGGGCCCACCAUAAACGGACUGAGCGUCCGCGCCGCAGAGGCAGUGGCCAUGUCGGUGUUGGCCGGCAUGGGCUCGGGCCAGCCCGGAGGCGUCCUGAUCGCCCCGCAGUCUCAGCCGUCCCCGAGAUGAUGCGCGGGCAGACGGCAGCAGGAAUGAACUGAGGUGUCGCUUAGAGGCCGGACCGGUGCAAAGCUCGUUGUGAAGAGGGAACCCACCCUCACUGUUAUCGAUACCCCUCCCCCUCUGAACACCUUACAGUAAUCACACAAAGGACAUGGCGAGACACCUCCGCCAGCCCUCCUCCCAACAGAAACGCUUCAUCACUCUCCAUGAUCGCGGGGCGACUGGUCCCUGUCUCCAGGGGUCAUAAAGCGAGAUGCAGGUUACUGGCUGGACAAGCUCACCUGUCCAUGUUGCUAACAACCAAAGUAAGCCAAACAUACAAAGAAAUCAAAAUGAAUGACUCCAUAAAAUGUUAAAUCCACAAAAAAACUUAAUAAAUGCUGAACACGCUAACAGAAAUUCUAAUUAUUUAUUAUUUUAAUGAUUAAAUACUUGGUGGGAAUGCUUUUGUCGGUAAUGACGGCCUCAAUGCUUGAAGGAUGAGAGUCCCUUCUUCCCAUUCUGAUUUUUAGCUCCUUCCUUAGAUUUGAAUUGGAUUUAAGUCUGAGUAUGAAUGCUAAUUUUAGCUGCUUUAUUUAUUUUUCUCUUAAACCAGUAAAGUUUCCUUGGCUUUGUGUUUUGAGAUAAUUGUUCUGCUGGAAAAAACCCAUCCUUGUCUUGUCUUCAGAUUCUGAUCAAUAAUGUCUCAGCGAAUUUCUCCAUUCAUCUUGCUUUCAGUGGUAUGAAAUCUGCCACAACCACAUGCUGAAUAGCCGCUCCCACCUUCAAACUUCACUGGUGGUAUGGUGUUGUGUUUUAUUUUAUGUUUUUUGGGGGGUGGCAGCUUACAGGACCAUUUCUCCUUAGAAUAUGCCAUGCGUUAUGACAUCUGAAGUGUUCAGUUUUACACUCAUCUGACCAGACUGUACUCCCAGUAUUUCACUGACGUAUCCAAAAGCGUGCAUUUUCUUCAGCAGUGGAGUCUUGUGCUGUGAGUACAAUGAGCUUAGAGGCCAUGUUUGUAAAUGUAUUGGAUUUAAUAACUUAAAUUGUGGAUUAGAUUUAGUUGAUUUCUUUGUAUGUGUGGAUUACGCUGAUUGUUACUGGCAUCUGGUGUAAAUUUCAUGUCAGUACCCCUAUUUGAAAUGUAUUUAGGUGGGAAACAUUUUACUGGUGAAGAUGUUGAUGUGUCUAAUCCUUAUUUGUACUUGCUGUAAAGCCUUUCCAGACUGCAGUGAAUGCAGUCUGGAAAGGCUUUGUCGUCUUUUUUUUUUUCUUUCUUUUUUUUAUCCCCUGACUUUUACUCUUGCUUUAUAAAUGUUGUCUUUUUUUUGUUGUUGUUUUUAAGUCAAUUCUUGAUUAAUGCACUCAUUGGAAGUUGGUUGAGUUCACAACAAAACAAACCGUAGAUGUGAACACAGUAAAUCCUGUGAUUGUGCCCCCCCCCCCCCCCCCCUUUUUAAUUAUUAUUCAUAUUUAACCCAUUUUGGAUGGAUAUCAUGAUAUUAGUCAAUCGUAUCAACCCUUACUGACUGCAUGGAUUGCUCAAGGCUGAAGAAUACCACUAUUUGUAUGUAGCCCAUUAUACUCUCACUGUUUUGUAACAUCAAGAUAUAAAUGUGAAAAUUGUCCCAGUUCUGUUAGGAAUCCGUCCUCUGCCCUGAAAGCUUUGGACUAUUAGAAAUACGUUUAAUUGACAGGUUUGAAAUCUUUUACCCAGACAUUUCAGUUGAGUACAGAGUAGUGCAAUAUAUUUUUCUAUUGAAUAUCGAUGUUCUUGCUUUGAGCGGACGCGUGUAGUCCAGCUGCUGACAGGGUUUGCUCUAUUUCAGUCAAACGCUACAGUUAACGAGGUGACCAAAGGAAAUGUGAAGGAGAUUGUUGUUGGGUGAAUGGAUUGUUAAUCAGUGUACGUUCUGAGAUACACAUGGUCUGAUUGGGAGCUUUAUACCAUUAAAAACUUGUGCUAUUGCAUUUAUGAACCAGAUUAAUUUCACAUGCAAGGUGCUUUUGUUUUGAUGUUCUUUUGCAGCUUUUUUUAAUAUGGCAUUGUUCUUCCAAGACGAUCAUCUUGUUUUUCCCCUAUUACUGUUUUUUUUUUUUUUAUAACAUUUUUUAGGUUCCCUUUUGUUUUGUCUCUGAGGGAAUAUUAAGGUUUUCUCCAUCAUGUGAUUGUAUGUGCUCCUUUUUUUUGUUAGUUUUUAUUUUGUUCUCUUGGUGUUUAACUGAAGUUGAACUACAUUGGGGGGGGGGGGGGGGGGGUGUAUCUGUUUGGAGGGAGUUUGUCCAAUACUCAGGCUUCAAGAUGGGAAAUAACUUGUGUAUAGUCUCAGCUACUUAAUAAAUUGUCUUGGACAAACGAUGAAAUAAAUUAAUGUAUAGCAAAACGUUA